Molecule: transfer RNA, 65 nt
Filed under: Olinga feredayi
Lineage: Eukaryota; Metazoa; Arthropoda; Insecta; Trichoptera; Conoesucidae
Description: tRNA-Thr
Source: RNAcentral
GUUUUAAUAAUUUAAAUAAAAUAUUGAUUUUGUAAUUCAACUAUAUCUAUCGCAGAUUUAAAACU